AGAUCAAUAGUUUUAAUGUUUUGAAAGCAUUAGCUAGACUGGUGAGUCUUUGAUCUU
RNAcentral lists this transfer RNA (57 nucleotides) under Bemisia tabaci. RNAcentral's name for it is "tRNA-Ser". Lineage: Eukaryota; Metazoa; Arthropoda; Insecta; Hemiptera; Aleyrodidae. The record is from RNAcentral.